Molecule: ribosomal RNA, 1114 nt
Filed under: uncultured bacterium
Lineage: Bacteria
Description: bacterial SSU rRNA
Rfam family: Bacterial small subunit ribosomal RNA
Source: RNAcentral
GCCAUGCCGCGUGUGUGAAGAAGGCCUUUUGGUUGUAAAGCACUUUAAGCAGUGAAGAAGACCUAACGGUUAAUACCCGUUAGCGAUGACAUUAGCUGCAGAAUAAGCACCGGCUAACUCUGUGCCAGCAGCCGCGGUAAUACAGAGGGUGCAAGCGUUAAUCGGAAUUACUGGGCGUAAAGCGAGCGUAGGUGGCUUGAUAAGUCAGAUGUGAAAUCCCCGGGCUUAACCUGGGAACUGCAUCUGAUACUGUUGGGCUAGAGUAGGUGAGAGGGAGGUAGAAUUUCAGGUGUAGCGGUGAAAUGCGUAGAGAUCUGAAGGAAUACCGAUGGCGAAGGCAGCCUCCUGGCAUCAUACUGACACUGAGGUUCGAAAGCGUGGGUAGCAAACAGGAUUAGAUACCCUGGUAGUCCACGCCGUAAACGAUGUCUACUAGUCGUUGGGGAACUUGAUUCCUUAGUGACGCAGCUAACGCAAUAAGUAGACCGCCUGGGGAGUACGGCCGCAAGGUUAAAACUCAAAUGAAUUGACGGGGGCCCGCACAAGCGGUGGAGCAUGUGGUUUAAUUCGAUGCAACGCGAAGAACCUUACCUGGUCUUGACAUAUCUAGAAUCCUGCAGAGAUGCGGGAGUGCCUUCGGGAAUUAGAAUACAGGUGCUGCAUGGCUGUCGUCAGCUCGUGUCGUGAGAUGUUGGGUUAAGUCCCGCAACGAGCGCAACCCUUUUCCUUAGUUACCAGCGGUUUGGCCGGGGACUCUAAGGAUACUGCCAGUGACAAACUGGAGGAAGGCGGGGACGACGUCAAGUCAUCAUGGCCCUUACGACCAGGGCUACACACGUGCUACAAUGGUAGGUACAGAGGGCAGCUACACAGCGAUGUGAUGCGAAUCUCAAAAAGCCUAUCGUAGUCCAGAUUGGAGUCUGCAACUCGACUCCAUGAAGUAGGAAUCGCUAGUAAUCGCGGAUCAGAAUGCCGCGGUGAAUACGUUCCCGGGCCUUGUACACACCGCCCGUCACACCAUGGGAGUUGAUUGCACCAGAAGUGGGUAGCCUAACUUUUAGAGGGCGCUCACCACGGUGUGGUUGAUGACUGGGGUGAAGUCGUAACAAGGUAA